CAAAGCAAUGCAGGACAGUAAGUGGUCAGGCGUUGAAUUCAGCAUCUGGUGAUUCCUCUUUGCUUUAUGAUGAACUGUGGUAGCGGUUACUUCCUAUUCAAACGAUUAUUGGGUCAUAAGUAUUCAGUACUUUAUUUUUUCUUUUGUGGCUGCUGGUCUCUUAUCUGUGCUUUUUCAAGUGUAUCUUAGAGGCAAUGUUAAUAUAUCCAUCAAACAGUCAUGUAAUACAAUGCAUGUUGAGAU
This 243-nucleotide long non-coding RNA is filed under the name Panax ginseng (ginseng). RNAcentral's name for it is "long non-coding RNA (PGIN_LNC010004)". The record is from RNAcentral. Lineage: Eukaryota; Viridiplantae; Streptophyta; Magnoliopsida; Apiales; Araliaceae.